This is a long non-coding RNA of Olea europaea var. sylvestris, 1512 nucleotides long. RefSeq lists it as uncharacterized. NCBI's taxonomy places the organism in Eukaryota, Viridiplantae, Streptophyta, Magnoliopsida, Lamiales, Oleaceae. The transcript has 2 exons. The record is from RefSeq and is a predicted model, not a curated record.
UAUCACAAAAUCAACUAAACAUUCUAAACUGCCACCAACUAAACCACCAUAACCACCUCCAAUCCACCAGAACCUCAGAGCAUCGCAAACAGCACUGGAUAGCAACUAGAUCGUGACCAAACUUUCCCCAUAUCGCAACCAACAAAACUCUGGCCAAAACCACACACCUCCACAAAUUUGCAGAUCGGUCGACGACGAGAGCUACCCUGGUGCUCCCCACAUUUCCAUUCCACUUGGAUCUGCUAAGCAACAUAUCAGAGGGAAAAAAUCAUUUGGGAUCAUUUAUAAACAGAUAAUGGACGACAGACGCCAAGUCAACGCCACCGUACAUCAACACCAACACCAAGUCGUUGAUGCACACCAACACCACAGAUCGGUCGGCAACGCUGCAACGAACUCCGUCACAGAUCCACGAUAGCCAUAGAUCGACGCCGUGAAUGGUUAGCUCAGUGCCAUAUUUGAUUUCUAAUCUUAUAUUUCUAGGUGAUUAGUUCAUUAUCAAUUGGGCCGGCUGGGGAGGGUGUUCUGAGAGAAGACGAAGAGGGAGAGAGAAAAUGACAGGAAAAAUAAUGGAGAGAGAAGGAGAUUGGAGGCGAUCUGAGAGAAGAAGAGGAGGGAUAGAGAAAAUGAUAGGAGAAAUAAUGGAGAAAGAAGGAGAUUGGAAAGAAAAUAAAUUUGUGUGGGAGAGAAAGAAAACGUGUAGAAUGAGAGAGAAUUAGAUUGGAGAGAAGAAAUAUUUCUGAUUUUUGAAAGAUGAAACACCUCACCUGAUUUAAGAAUUGAGAUCUUAAAUAGUAGAGUGAGCUGUAAUUUCCACAUUUUUAAUUGACCCCAUUGAACCCUUAAUUUUUAACAAUUGACCCCAUUGGAUUCUUAAUUUUUAACAUUGAUAAAAAAUCCAUAUAUAGAUUAAUAGUAGCCCAUAAAUUUAACCCAAGUAACAUUAAAAAAAUCCCAAAUGUUCCCUUCCAGUUCCCGGCUUCUCCAGAUUCUCAAGCCCUGUGAAGUGCGAACGAACCUGUGUGUGCAACGACGAUGCGAUUUCUUCAGCUUUAUUCCAAUCUCUGGACUCCGAUUCACGAUAUUUUGAAAGAGGAAGAAGAAGAUUGAAGAAGCAAAAUUAGGUCAGUGAGAGUUCCAAUUUCGUCCAAUCAUCCUUUAGACUAGUGAAGACAUAUGAUUCACCAUUAGAUCCAUUCCUUGUAUUCGUAAAUACCUUAACUAUAUGCUUUGUCUGCUUUGAGCCAAGAUGACUAGUAUGCUUUAGAGUGGCGGACUUGAGACAUUCGUAAAUACCUUAACUAUAUGCUUUGUCUGCUUUGAGCCAAGAUGACUAGUAUGCUUUAGAGUGGCGGACUUGGGACUUCACCUUAUAUUUAAUCUUUGUUUAACGAAAUUGAGUAGUUCACUUGAAUGAGUUUGAAAAAUAGCGUCUGAUGAAUGAUGAUUAUACCAAUUUCAACUUGAUUUGGAAUUAAGGCAUAAUGGAAUAUUUUGCCCCUCUUAGUAUUA